This 683-nucleotide ribosomal RNA is filed under the name Linnemannia elongata. Its description in RNAcentral is "eukaryotic LSU rRNA". The stretch from base 216 to 369 matches the Rfam family "5.8S ribosomal RNA". Lineage: Eukaryota; Fungi; Mortierellomycota; Mortierellomycetes; Mortierellales; Mortierellaceae. The record is from RNAcentral.
CUUGGUCAUUUAGAGGAAGUAAAAGUCGUAACAAGGUUUCCGUAGGUGAACCUGCGGAAGGAUCAUUCAUAAUAAGUGUUUUAUGGCACUUUUUAAAUCCAUAUCCACCUUGUGUGCAAUGUCAGUCGAUCUUCUUCAUGGAGAUCGACCAAACAUCAACCUUUAUUUUUUAACUCUUUGUCUGAAAAAUAUUAUGAAUAAACAAUUCAAAAUACAACUUUCAACAACGGAUCUCUUGGCUCUCGCAUCGAUGAAGAACGCAGCGAAAUGCGAUACGUAAUGUGAAUUGCAGAAUUCAGUGAAUCAUCGAAUCUUUGAACGCAUAUUGCGCUCUUUGGUAUUCCGAAGAGCAUGCUUGUUUGAGUAUCAGUAAACACCUCAAAGCUUUUGGAUUUUUUAAUCGAAAAGCUUCGGACUUGAGCAAUCCCAACACCAAUCUUUUUGAGAUCGGUGGCGGGUUGCUUGAAAUGCAGGUGCAGCUGGACAUUCUCCUGAGCUAAAAGCAUAUUCAUUUAGUCCCGUCAAACGGAUUAUUACUUUUGCUGCAGCUAACAUAAAGGGAGUUUGACCGUAUUGGCUGACUGAUGCAGGAUUUCACAAGGGUCGGCAACGAUUCUUGUUAAACUCGAUCUCAAAUCAAGUAAGACUACCCGCUGAACUUAAGCAUAUCAAUAAGCGGAGGA